Molecule: non-coding RNA, 349 nt
Organism: Cherax quadricarinatus
Lineage: Eukaryota; Metazoa; Arthropoda; Malacostraca; Decapoda; Parastacidae
Source: RefSeq, a predicted model, not a curated record
GAUUACUGGACCCAGCAGUGUAGGUUGUAAGAUUACUGAACCAGCAUUGUAGGUUGUAAGAUUGCUGGACCAGCAGUGUAGCUUGUAAGAUUACUGGACCAGCAGUGUAGGUUGUAAGAUUACUAGACCAACAUUGUAGGUUGUAAGAUUACUGGAUCAGCAGUGUAGCUUGUAAGAUUACUGGACCAGCAGUGUAGGUUGUAAGAUUACUAGACCAACAGUGUAGGUUGUAAGAUUACUAGACCAACAGUGUAGGUUGUAAGAUUACUAGACCAACAGUGUAGGUUGUAAGAUUACUGGAUCAGCAGUGUAGGCUGUAAGAUUACUGGACCAGCAGUGUAGCUUGUAA